AGAGAGUGGCUGCCUGUGGAAGUCUUGCUGUUGUCUGAAGAGGAACGAUGCAGAUUGGCAAGCAGCUUUGCCAUCACAGAGACCUCUCUCAUUUUUUGAAGAGGUUUAUAACACAGCUUGAUUUGCUUCCUGGUGUGUGUUCCAAAUACACUCAAGCUAUGACCGGACAAAGAAACGGCUCAGAGAAGACUGUGUUCUUAAGUCUGGCUGUCACUAUACAGAACUGAAAUAGCUAAAAGAAGCUCCAAGGUUUCUGGGCACAUAUAUUUAAAGCAGCUGGCCAUGCCUGCAUCAUGUACCAGUGAGGGGCCUCCAGCAGCUGGUCUUGCCCGCAUCAUGUACCAGUGAGGGGCCUCCAGCAGCUGGUCUUGCCCGCAUCAUGUACCAGUGAGGAGCAUCCAGCAGCUGGCCCUGCAUCAUGUACCAAUGAGGAGCAUCCAGCAGCUGGCCCUGACCACAUCAUGUACCAAUGAGGAACAUCCAGCAGCUGGCCCUGCAUCAUGUACCAGUGAGGAACAUCCAGCAGCUGGCCCUGCAUCAUGUACCAGUGAGGAACAUCCAGCAGCUGGCCCUGCAUCACUCUUAAAGUAGACUUGGGCCUGGCUUGAGCCCAGUGUGACCAGCUUUCAUCUGUGGAGCUGAGAAAAGGGUCAAAGAACAACUAAUUAAAAGAAUUCCUCCUGCUGCUACAGAAAUACAAUAAUGACUUUAAGAGAUUUUCCUCUUUUAAUUAAAUGCCAACUACCUUUGCUGAUUUCAAGCCCAAAUUGCUAAUGCUAUUUUAACUAAUUCUCAUGAUUACAAAAGAGGAGAUUGAAAGCCAACAGCAAAUACAUGAAGAAUUUGUGUCCCAGAUCGUUUUGUCCAAACGAAGUUUCAUUCUUUCUCUGCUUUUCUGAGUCAGCUAAUGGUGGCUGUUGGGUAGGGGCUCAUCAGGAGCCCCUCACAGUUGCCUCUCUGUCACAGUGCAAAGAAAUAGCAAGCCUGACUGUGACUCUGAAAUCCUCUCACAGGCUUCCCAAGUAUCCAGCCUCCUAGAAAUAAAUGCCAGAGCCCAGACCAGA
This is a long non-coding RNA of Mastomys coucha (southern multimammate mouse), 1064 nucleotides long. RefSeq lists it as uncharacterized. The record is from RefSeq and is a predicted model, not a curated record. The transcript has 2 exons. Lineage: Eukaryota; Metazoa; Chordata; Mammalia; Rodentia; Muridae.